GGAAAAUACGAGUUGCUCGCUUCACAUUUUAGUACUAAACUGGAACCGGCUUCUCAGGAGGAGUUCAAACCGGUGAUUUUCUCAGCUGUCCAUCAAUCUAGUCUCAGUCAUGCUGGCUGCUAGACUUUUCGGGAGGACAUUCUUGGCGGCGGCCAAAUCAGAGAGUUCAGCCGCUCCAGCUGCUGCUAGAACCCUUAAUCCACUUGAGCAGUUUUUUGAAGUGGAUAGAACCCCGGAGGAUGAUAAGCCUGUCGUCUAUGGUCGAGGUUGGAAGGCUUCUGAAUUGCGUCUGAAGUCCUGGGAUGAUCUUCAGAAGUUAUGGUAUGUUCUUCUGAAGGAGAAGAACAUGUUGAUGACUCAACGUCAGAUGCUCAAUGCUCAGAACCUGCGUUUUCCUAAUCCAGAGCGUAUUUCCAAGGUAAGGAAGUCGAUGUGCCGAAUCAAGCAUGUUCUUACUGAGAGAGCCAUUGAUGAAGCAGAUCCAAGGAGGUCAACUGAGAUGAAGAGGAUGAUAAAUGCUCUAUAAUUUUCACACUCAUCGGUAGUAGUGUUUAUAUGCCCUUAUAAUGAGUACUUGGAUUUACCUCCUCGUCUAUUAGCUCCACAUGUAGGAAACUUACCUCCUCGUCUAUUAGCUCCACAUGUAGGAAACUUACUUUUCUUGUGUGUUGUGGUCAUGAAAUGGCAAAUUUUAUCUAUCUACACAACAUUCCUGACAUCCAUGAUGUCAAACAAACUCUAUGAACUAGUUUAUUAGGAUGAAAUGGAGAUGGCAAUUCUGUUUAAAAGAUUUGCUCAUGCUGAAAAUAAAAACCAAACUCAGUGUUUAUGCACUCGUGUUGGUCGAUU
Molecule: unclassified non-coding RNA, 849 nt
Filed under: Hevea brasiliensis (rubber tree)
Lineage: Eukaryota; Viridiplantae; Streptophyta; Magnoliopsida; Malpighiales; Euphorbiaceae
Source: RNAcentral